Molecule: long non-coding RNA, 1217 nt
Organism: Sorex araneus (European shrew)
Lineage: Eukaryota; Metazoa; Chordata; Mammalia; Eulipotyphla; Soricidae
Exons: 3
Source: RefSeq, a predicted model, not a curated record
CCCAGAACAAGCGGUUCAAGUCACCCACGUUAAGAGGAGCCCUCCGCGAGGUGACUCAUGCGGAGAAGCACAGGAGCGCUGCGCCUCAGAGACGAAAACAUCCUUCCAGAGGGGCUGGCGGCGCGUACACAGGGAUGUUAAAAUUAGAACAGCCGCGUUGGGGUUCUCGUAAUUAGAAAUGCAGCCGGUGCCACAGGAAUCCAUAAUGGGCCUCCUCCAGGCUUCCGAGGGGGAGGCUGGGGUCAGCGUGUGAAUAUUCAUGAGGUGCCAGGAGAGGGUCCCUGGGGGCUGCCGCUGCACCGCUGCGAGACAGGGGGGGAGGCUUGUGCGGUGCUCCCUGCUUGGCCGCUCACCAGCACCGUCAUGCAGCCACAGCCAAAUUCCCGAGGCAGGAAGCGGGGCUGCGCGAGGACCGUUAUCUGCGCCGACCAGGUGCUGGCGUUCUCCAUGUCUUUCCCUUCUCUCCUCAGCAGCCUGGAAAGGGGGAUCAGUCUCCCCACUUACAGCUGGGGAAGGAGAAGCUGCGGCGGGUGACUCGAGUGCGUCGGGCUUGACUCGCUCUGUCAUCAGUGGGACGUGGCUGGGCAGGAGCCUUGAGUGCCCUCUCCGCCCCCCCCAUCCGUCUGUCUGUCCUGCCUUCUGUUUCCGUCCGUCCCUGCUCUCCCGCCAGGUCAGGCCCCUACGUGAAACAGGUGUCACUAACAGGCCCACCCUAGAAGGGUACAGUUCAGUGGCUUCCCACACAGCCCCGGUCUUACAACAUCACUGCGGUUCCAUCGCUGCUUCCCCUGGCCCCAUAAAGAGACACUCACAGGCACCGGGGGAUGAUUCACUGCAGCAAGUGGUCUUCACAAGGGGCCCAGCUUCAGUCCCCACAGGGAAGAGGCCCUGAGCCUGCGGGUGUCAUCUCCCACCCGAAAGUGGAAAGGAAAUACUCGCCCUGCACGCCCCAGCCCCACCCUCCGCCUCUGCUCAGCCCAAAGCAAGCAAAACUCUGCUUCCUGUCCGUAUAGAUCUGUCUCCUCAGGGCUUUCUGAUCGAUGUCUGGUCAAUCAGACAGUGACACACGGGCUUUCGCGACUGACUUCUCCCACUGAGCGGCGUGGCUUCCGGGUUCCUCUGUACAGUUUCAUGAGUAAAUGCUUUUUAAAAAAAAUUACCAAAUAAUAUUUGUUGAAUUGAAUCUCCGCAUUCCAUUUAUUCAUUAACCAACGGGU